Molecule: transfer RNA, 63 nt
Filed under: Angerianus maurus
Lineage: Eukaryota; Metazoa; Arthropoda; Insecta; Hemiptera; Miridae
Description: tRNA-Arg
Source: RNAcentral
AAGUAGUGAAGUAAUAAUUACACUUAGUUUCGGCCUAAGAAUCAAGGAUCCUCCUCUUACUUU